GAUGAAGAACGUAGCGAAAUGCGAUAAGUAAUGUGAAUUGCAGAAUUCAGUGAAUCAUCGAAUCUUUGAACGCACAUUGCGCCCGCCAGUAUUCUGGCGGGCAUGCCUGUCUGAGCGUCAUUUCAACCCUCAUGCCCCUAGGGCGUGGUGUUGGGGAUCGGCCAAAGCCCGCGAGGGACGGCCGGCCCCUAAAUCUAGUGGCGGACCCGUCGUGGCCUCCUCUGCGAAGUAGUGAUAUUCCGCAUCGGAGAGCGAUGAGCCCCUGCCGUUAAACCCCCAACUUUCCAAGGUUGACCUCGGAUCAGGUAGGAAUACCCGCUGAACUUAAGCAUAUCAAUAAGCGGAGGA
RNAcentral lists this unclassified non-coding RNA (348 nucleotides) under soil metagenome. Its description in RNAcentral is "partial contains 5.8S ribosomal RNA, internal transcribed spacer 2, and large subunit ribosomal RNA". The stretch from base 1 to 120 matches the Rfam family "5.8S ribosomal RNA", at positions 35 to 154 of the family's 154-position model. The record is from RNAcentral.